GAUGAACGCUGGCGGCGUGCCUAAUACAUGCAAGUCGAGCGAACGGACGAGAAGCUUGCUUUUCUGAUGUUAGCGGCGGACGGGUGAGUAACACGUGGAUAACCUACCUAUAAGACUGGGAUAACUUCGGGAAACCGGAGCUAAUACCGGAUAAUAUUUUGAACCGCAUGGUUCAAAAGUGAAAGACGGUCUUGCUGUCACUUAUAGAUGGAUCCGCGCUGCAUUAGCUAGUUGGUAAGGUAACGGCUUACCAAGGCAACGAUGCAUAGCCGACCUGAGAGGGUGAUCGGCCACACUGGAACUGAGACACGGUCCAGACUCCUACGGGAGGCAGCAGUAGGGAAUCUUCCGCAAUGGGCGAAAGCCUGACGGAGCAACGCCGCGUGAGUGAUGAAGGUCUUCGGAUCGUAAAACUCUGUUAUUAGGGAAGAACAUAUGUGUAAGUAACUGUGCACAUCUUGACGGUACCUAAUCAGAAAGCCACGGCUAACUACGUGCCAGCAGCCGCGGUAAUACGUAGGUGGCAAGCGUUAUCCGGAAUUAUUGGGCGUAAAGCGCGCGUAGGCGGUUUUUUAAGUCUGAUGUGAAAGCCCACGGCUCAACCGUGGAGGGUCAUUGGAAACUGGAAAACUUGAGUGCAGAAGAGGAAAGUGGAAUUCCAUGUGUAGCGGUGAAAUGCGCAGAGAUGUGGAGGAACACCAGUGGCGAAGGCGACUUUCUGGUCUGUAACUGAUGCUGAUGUGCGAAAGCGUGGGGAUCAAACAGGAUUAGAUACCCUGGUAGUCCACGCCGUAAACGAUGAGUGCUAAGUGUUAGGGGGUUUCCGCCCCUUAGUGCUGCAGCUAACGCAUUAAGCACUCCGCCUGGGGAGUACGACCGCAAGGUUGAGACUCAAAGGAAUUGACGGGGGCCCGCACAAGCGGUGGAGCAUGUGGUUUAAUUCGAAGCAACGCGAAGAACCUUACCAAAUCUUGACAUCCUUUGACAACUCUAGAGAUAGAGCCUUCCCCUUCGGGGGACAAAGUGACAGGUGGUGCAUGGUUGUCGUCAGCUCGUGUCGUGAGAUGUUGGGUUAAGUCCCGCAACGAGCGCAACCCUUAAGCUUAGUUGCCAUCAUUAAGUUGGGCACUCUAAGUUGACUGCCGGUGACAAACCGGAGGAAGGUGGGGAUGACGUCAAAUCAUCAUGCCCCUUAUGAUUUGGGCUACACACGUGCUACAAUGGACAAUACAAAGGGCAGCGAAACCGCGAGGUCAAGCAAAUCCCAUAAAGUUGUUCUCAGUUCGGAUUGUAGUCUGCAACUCGACUACAUGAAGCUGGAAUCGCUAGUAAUCGUAGAUCAGCAUGCUACGGUGAAUACGUUCCCGGGUCU
This 1372-nucleotide ribosomal RNA is filed under the name uncultured bacterium. RNAcentral describes it as "bacterial SSU rRNA". It matches the Rfam family "Bacterial small subunit ribosomal RNA", at positions 28 to 1381 of the family's 1533-position model. The record is from RNAcentral.